GGGGGGGGGCUUUGUUGUGGAGGUUACCUGCAUUUUUGGUAACGUCACCUGGCUGGUGGAGCAGACUGAGGGACACGCACGCUCUGCCGCUUACGAAACAGACCCCCCAACAGACCCCCACCCCCUCCAAGACAAACCAAGGCCAAACAUAGAAAAAGAAAGGAGUUUCAUAAACAGGGGAAGAAAAGUUUAUGAAUUGGUGAAAACAAACAACAACAUAGGAGAAAUGUGGGGGGGCCGCGUGUCAGCGCAGUGACCACCAACCCCCCUCGAUCCCCCUCAAUCCCCCUCUCCAAGCUUCCCCUGUGCUCUAGUUUGCGGUGUAUUCUAGGCCCGUCUCCAGUCUCUUUAUGUAACAUGCUUUUCAUCCCCGGCCUGACACCUCUCCCCAUCUCACCUCCCUCCCCCCCAUGCUGGCUCUCGGUGGUGUAAACAGCCUCGUUGCGAGUCUCGUCUCCGACACCCACUUGGCAAGACUCACGGGCGCAGGUAUUUAUACCCGUCCCGCUGCCCACCGCUGGUGCAGCUCCCAGGGCGGAUAAAUUAUGAAGAGAGCCGGGAUGAAUAAAAGGACGGUGCCGCCUGAUGCCGGCUCGUGUCG
This is a long non-coding RNA of Gasterosteus aculeatus aculeatus (three-spined stickleback), 601 nucleotides long. The record is from Ensembl. NCBI's taxonomy places the organism in Eukaryota, Metazoa, Chordata, Actinopteri, Perciformes, Gasterosteidae.